GCUUCACCGUCACGGCUACGGUUCCGGCUUUCUCGCUCACGUUGUAGCUGAGGACAAAUCAGAGGGACGGAGACGUUAUUCUACAUUUUCACUACAAAAACACAAAAUCUUGCCAAUGAUGCAGUACCUCUUGUGCUCAAAGCUGAUCAGAGACCACUGGAUGUGGAAGACGUUGUCGCUGACCACGUUGGGUUUGCUGUCUUUCACCAGAAACUUGAAGGUGUCCAUGGUUUCCUGGAUGUUCUCCUGACGCAGCAGGUUAUAAAGGAGGUGGAGGAGAACUAAAUACCCAAUCCUGCACCGAUAAAGACGAUAUCAGAAGAUUUUUAUUUUUGUUUGUGUUUUCUGCUUGAACUCUUGGAUUAUAUCAGUGUGGAUAACUUUAGGAUCAAACUGAACAAAUGUAAGAGUUUGACUCUUAUAACAAGAAAAACAAAUAAUUUCAUGAUGGUAGGUUGGUUUUUGAAAUAAUAAAUCCUUAAAGUUUGAGAAGUGACUAAUUUCUGAGGCUGUUGCUUUUAAUUUCAUGCUUUUACUGGACAGAAAAAGAAACAAAAAUAUUGUGAUUGCUUAACUUCCUAAUUCUUCCUAAAUCAAAUAUCUGAAAAAUCUGCAAAUAGCAGCUAAUUUGGCUCCAUUUCUUUCUUGGCAGGUAUUUCUGGCUUCAGUAUAAAAAUGGAACUAACUUUGCAUUUCCUCCAAAAUAAUUACUUUAUAAUUUGCCUCCUCUGGCUUUUUUCCAUCACUUCCAAUCCAAAUGAGUAAGAAUAUCUUUGCUGGCUGAUAUUUUCUGCUCACCGAUUCCUCCCAAAGGAGGCUGGAGAAAAUAUAAAACCUUAACUAACGGCGAAUGAAGACGCAUAAACGCUAAAAUGACCUUCAGGACGCCGAGGGCAACAUGCAGCUGGAAAAAAACAACACAAACACACACACCAAAGUGCUUUUCUGUCCUCGGAGCUGAACACUGGAGUUUCUCUCCGGCCUGAAGGAUCAACAUCUCAUAAUAAAAACAGGCUGACACUGAUUCCAGGCUGCAGCCUGAAGCUGAACAUGACACAAACUCUGAAUAAGAACCCUGCUGAUUGAAAGUCAAAAUUAACUGACUAAACAUGGAAACCUGGAGGAAAGACGCAGCUGAAGAGCAUCUGAAGUCCUGAACAGAGAAUAAAUACUCUGAAAGUCCUGCAUGAAGAACCACACAGUAAAUAAACAGUAAAGUAUCAGGAUAUUAACUUACAACUCAAACUAAGGAUGAUUUCACUCUGUGACAGGCCUGGACAGAAGGGGGCAGCAAUAAAACAUGAAACUGUAGUAAA
Long non-coding RNA from Xiphophorus couchianus (Monterrey platyfish), 1316 nucleotides. RefSeq lists it as uncharacterized. NCBI's taxonomy places the organism in Eukaryota, Metazoa, Chordata, Actinopteri, Cyprinodontiformes, Poeciliidae. The transcript is spliced from 4 exons. The record is from RefSeq and is a predicted model, not a curated record.